UGCUGCGGCUGCUGAGGCGGCUGUUGCUGAUGAGGGUUGUGAAGAUGGUGCUGAUGAGGUGGUAGAUCACCAUUGCUUGAGACAACUUCAAUAAUCAUGCUAUCUCUGGUGGCAGGCUGAAGUUCUUCCUUGUAGAAAUGGAUGGGGCGAGGCUUUUCCGAUAAAUACAUGAUUAUUGAAGAAGAUCAAAAUCAGGAUUUCAGGGUAAUGGGUAAUUUUAGAAAUAGAUGGGAUUGAAGAAAGUGAAGGAUUUCAUGAGUAGAAGAAGAAGAGAACCCAUUGUUUUUGGAGAAUGAAUUCAAGAUUGGUG
RNAcentral lists this unclassified non-coding RNA (310 nucleotides) under Hevea brasiliensis (rubber tree). Lineage: Eukaryota; Viridiplantae; Streptophyta; Magnoliopsida; Malpighiales; Euphorbiaceae. The record is from RNAcentral.